Molecule: long non-coding RNA, 443 nt
Organism: Astatotilapia calliptera (eastern happy)
Lineage: Eukaryota; Metazoa; Chordata; Actinopteri; Cichliformes; Cichlidae
Source: Ensembl
GCAAAAGCAAGGAGAGAGGGCUGGCAGAAAGUUGCUGACAAAUCAAACUCGUAGGUAAUUUAAUAAUAAUAAUAAUAAUGGAUUGGAUUUAUAUAGCGCUUUCCAAGGCACCCAAAGCGCUUUACGAUACCACUAUUCAUUCACUCCCACAUUCACACACUGGUGGAGGCAGCUACGGUUGUAGCCAGGCUGCCAUAUCGCGCCAUCGGCCCCUCUGGCCAACACCAGUAGGCGAGCCACAACAGGACCCACAAGAACAUGGGAACAAGUAAAAGUGGAAUACAGGAGUAUUCUACAGAAUGCAACCAAGAAAAGGGCAGAGGAAAAAAAGACAGGUGGUGGUCCUGCACCCCCUCGUCAACAAGUUGGUUAAGUAAAUAAUACCCUCACGGGAAAAUCGAUAUCUCUCUAUGAGCACACUGUCGCGCUGAGCUAAAGGAUCC